GAUGAACGCUAGCUACAGGCUUAACACAUGCAAGUCGAGGGGAAACGACAUCGAAAGCUUGCUUUUGAUGGGCGUCGACCGGCGCACGGGUGAGUAACGCGUAUCCAACCUGCCCACCACUUGGGGAUAACCUUGCGAAAGUAAGACUAAUACCCAAUGAUAUCUCUAGAAGACAUCUGAAAGAGAUUAAAGAUUUAUCGGUGAUGGAUGGGGAUGCGUCUGAUUAGCUUGUUGGCGGGGUAACGGCCCACCAAGGCGACGAUCAGUAGGGGUUCUGAGAGGAAGGUCCCCCACAUUGGAACUGAGACACGGUCCAAACUCCUACGGGAGGCAGCAGUGAGGAAUAUUGGUCAAUGGACGAGAGUCUGAACCAGCCAAGUAGCGUGCAGGAUGACGGCCCUAUGGGUUGUAAACUGCUUUUAUAAGGGAAUAAAGUGAGUCUCGUGAGACUUUUUGCAUGUACCUUAUGAAUAAGGACCGGCUAAUUCCGUGCCAGCAGCCG
Molecule: ribosomal RNA, 502 nt
Filed under: uncultured bacterium
Lineage: Bacteria
Description: bacterial SSU rRNA
Rfam family: Bacterial small subunit ribosomal RNA
Source: RNAcentral